GUCCACUCUCACAUCCCUUUUCAUUCUUGCUCCAAGAGCGAUAUGCCUUGGACCAAUUCGGUUGCCUGUGUUGUAUACCUACGUUGAUGGAAUUCGCUCGUCCAAUCACCCCUUAUUCACCUUGUGCUGCUUACGCGGUGCAGGAUGAACCAUGCAGUGUCCUUUGUUGGGCAUUCUUGCCCUGCGUUCGCGUGAUGCAGGAAAUGGCCAAUGUCUGACACUCGAAUUCUCGGAUACGGAACCUUAAGGGGGCAACGGGUCUUUGGCCUUGAUUUGCCCAAACUAAGUUCUUACGAACGACUGUCGUGCCCGUUUUGACCUGAGGAUGCUUUUGGUCCGACUGGCUCAUGCG
This 352-nucleotide unclassified non-coding RNA is filed under the name Sciodaphyllum brownei. Its description in RNAcentral is "partial may contain external transcribed spacer and 18S ribosomal RNA". Lineage: Eukaryota; Viridiplantae; Streptophyta; Magnoliopsida; Apiales; Araliaceae. The record is from RNAcentral.